UCACACAAGAUUGAUUUCAGAAACUGUCAGAGGAAUUCCUUUUGGUUGCACUGAAAAAAAGCUCCGAGCUUCAUAGUAUUACCGGUAUUUACCGGGCGUUUCGGGCUCAGAAGCCGAAAGUUCCGGGUACUGGAGACGUAACUUUGAUUGCUCCGGGUGCUACGCUGACCCCGGAACGCGGACCGUAUGUCUAUAAAGCCCAUAAUUAUGGCUUCCACGGUCGGAACUUUUUUUUCAAUGUGAGAAUUUUGGAAGUCAUAGAUACGGGAAAACUUGAAAAGUUCGAGAAAAGGGGCUGAAAGUUUUUCUGGACACCUAGUUUUUCUCUCAGAUUGAUGGCACUGAGGGUUGGUCUAAGAAUCCCUUCUAGCCAUUUCUGUUUCAUUGACUGUACAUUUUUUUGUGAUGUUUAAUUAUGUAUUGCAUAUAAAACUUUUGGAGACUAUAUGAUAAAUAAAAAUACUUAAAAACUCACAUGGACGUAAUAUAUUUACUGGCGGACGCGUUUCGCCGGCUCGCAUAUUUAUUCAUCAAGUUUUUGUUGGUCUAAUUCGAAACAAAUCAUGCACAGGAAGUGAGAAUUCAUUUAAAAAAUGAUGGUUUGGCGUGUCACAAUUAGUUGCUUGCAUUCUCUCGAUGCAUUGAGCCGCGCAAGGUAGCGACGCGACUGUUAUCCUAUAUUUGUUCGUUACAUUACGUCAACAUGAGUGCUUUGUUUUUCUCAGCGGCUGUCUUCAUAUACUAUCUCAACUUUUUUCUACCAGACGUUUUGACUGCGACCAACCAGGCCCGCAGUACUGUGGUUGUCGUUGAGGAUCCUCUGACAAAUUGUGACAAUAGGGAUUAUGUGCUAGCCUUUGAUCCUAUGACUAUCACACGAGACGGCAAAUUUUUGAUCGUCAAUGGAAGAAUAAUAGUGCAAAGAGACCUUCAAAAUCCUCUUUCGUUUAUAAUCCGGAUCGAAAAAUGCAAGGAUAAGGGAAACCUCAAUUCCUGCGAAUAUUAUUCAACAUGGAAGUGGGACGAUGUAUGCAUACCAUUCAAAAUACUGCCUUUCAUGGAGGGCUUUUACAAGGCUCACGUGCCCAAAACUAACCAUUGUCCCUACAAAAAGUUUAUAAUCCGGAUCGAAAAAUGCAAGGAUAAGGGAAACCUCAAUUCCUGCGAGUAUUAUUCAACAUGGAAGUGGGACGAUGUAUGCAUACCAUUCGAAAUACUGCCUUUCUUUAAGGGCUUUACCAAUGCUUUUGUGCCCAAAGCUCACUGUCCCUACAAAAAGAAUAUUUAUGAAAUAAGAAACUUCAGGAUUCCAGCGGAUGCAAUGACUGCCAUGCUCCCGAACAGUGAAGGUCAUCCUCUCUAUAAUGUCCGCAUGCUUACCAAAGAGCAAAAAGAGAUUGUUUCUUGUAUAUUUCUCAGUUUUCGUUUCGCGACUGUCAGAAAAAAAGAUUAA
Molecule: long non-coding RNA, 1453 nt
Filed under: Bemisia tabaci
Lineage: Eukaryota; Metazoa; Arthropoda; Insecta; Hemiptera; Aleyrodidae
Description: lncRNA ENSSSA1UGG001040
Source: RNAcentral